AUUCUUGUUUACGUUCGAAUAGGAUUCUUUCGAAAGUAUCGCUAAUUCGCAUUCCCGUUUUCGUUCGAAGCAAAUUCGAACCAUUCGAUCUUUCGAACAUCAAUCUUUCGAAUGUUUGCCCUAUUCUCGUAUUCGUUCGAACGCGUAUUUUUGUUUACUUUCAAUUCGCUACUCGGAACUUGCGGAUCGACACGUAUCGCGAUUUAUUUUUCUUCAAGCACAGUCGAAACGGUAUUUUUUCGUUACGAUUCUUAAAUUGACCAAAUGAACCAAGGGCAAAAGUACCAAUUUGUAAUGCUGGUCGAACGUUUGGAGCAAGAACCUGGAAGAAAUUCGGAGAAAAAUGAUGCUUUGAGUAAUUUUUUGAAUUCCUUAAAAAUUAUCCUAAAAAAUCAUGAAGGAUCAUCAAACGAGUUCCUGUCUGUAUGAAUCCCUUGAUUAAUUUGUGAAGCAAUUUAUUCAGUUGCCCAAAGCGAAUACUCUGGCACCUAACUCAUACGGAAAUCUCGUAAGCAGUUAUGGAGCGGACCCUGUUACAGGAAUCCCUGGAGAUAUCCUAGGUAGAGUUAGUGAAUAAUUCUAAAAAAAAUUAUGGAAAAUUGGCAAGUUUUUCAUCAAGAUUCCUUAUGGAAUCACCUCAUAACUCCCAUCGACUUACUCUCCGGAGUCUUCAGCGUAUCCAAAUUUCAUAUGCAGUUCAGUUUGGAAUCAACUUCAAAGAUUGCACUAAAACUUCAAAUGUACAAAUCUCACGAAAAAAACAUCCAACAACAGUGUACUUUUUAUUUUGCCUCUGCACUAGCAGAAAGCUUCGUGAGUAAACGUGAGUAGGUGCACAAGACGGUCAUCUUUUGAUUCCGAGAUGAAUACUAUUCAUCUAGAAAUCCUUCAAAUAUUUAUUUCAAGAAACCAUGAUUGUAAAACAAGAUUUCUUAAUUAAAUGUUUUAGAUGUAUUUCCGUAGAAAAUCUUCGUAGAAUUACUACAAGAAUUUAUUGAAUUAUUCUUGUAUGAAAUCUUCGAAGUUUUCCCAUAAGGAUUCAUGAAAUGGUUCUUGGGGCUGAACAAAUUCUUCAAAAUAUCGUAAGGAAAUGGGUAAUUAUUCCUAGGGAAAUGCCAUAGAUUUCUGGAAGAAUUCUGACAGGAUUCUAUGUAGAUUUCAUUAAUGAAUUUCUUAAUAAAAAUCCUCUUGAUCCUCGAAUAUAUUUUCUAAAGUUCGUGUCCUCAAAUACUUUCUAAAGGUAUGUGGUGUUGCGCCACAAUAAUCAUGGAUUUCACGAAUUUCACUGUUUCAAAUUUAAUAGAGUUUCUAAAAAUCGAUCUUCGCACAUUGAUCUAUCCAUUUUUCAACGCAAAGUAGCAUAUUUUCAAUAAUGUAAUAUCCAACGCAACUAUCACGGCCUCUAUCAAUUUUGAUUUAUGCUAUUUCCGUGGAGCUGAAGUACAAAGUCGUGCUAACAUUUCAAUAAAUAUGUUAAAACAUAAGCUGGCAGCAAAUAACUAAAUUUAUCAAAACCGUAAAAAAUGGUUGUAAAUUAAUAGUGAUUUAGUUGUUUAUUAAUAAUUGCAUUAUUGGAUAAACAAGAAGACUGUAUUUCAGCACUUUAACGGUUAAUGGAUCAUUUUAAAAACUACUUCACAAUAUCAAUCUUAAUCGGUUAAUUAUUUG
This 1668-nucleotide long non-coding RNA is filed under the name Aedes aegypti (yellow fever mosquito). Its description in RNAcentral is "lncRNA AAEL025193". The record is from RNAcentral. Lineage: Eukaryota; Metazoa; Arthropoda; Insecta; Diptera; Culicidae.